Molecule: ribosomal RNA, 1164 nt
Filed under: Triticum aestivum (bread wheat)
Lineage: Eukaryota; Viridiplantae; Streptophyta; Magnoliopsida; Poales; Poaceae
Description: partial small subunit ribosomal RNA
Source: RNAcentral
AUGGACGGCAGGGCCGGCGGCGGCGGUAGCGGCGACUACAUUUCCAGCCUCCUCACCUCGUCGCCGAUGCUCGACUUCGGUGUGCUGGACGGCGCCGUGGCGGCGGGCGGGGACUGCCUGGAGAAGUUCUGCGGCGACCCGGGGUUCGCGGAGCGGGCGGCGCGGCUGUCCAGCUUCAACGGGCAGCACUUCACGCCAGGGCUCUUCGGGAUGCCGCCGCCGGCGCCCGGCGCGGGCAACGGUGAGUUCGGCGGCUCGCGGGAGGCGUCUUCCGUGUCAGACCCUGCCUCGGCGAUGAAGGACGCCAAUGCCAAGAAGAGGAAGGCGCCCGCGGGCAAAGGCAAAGCCAAGGAGCCUUCCCUCAGCACCUCUUGCCAGGUCGGGGAGCAGAAGGAGUCGGACGGCAAGAGGUGCAGGACGGGCGACGCCGAGAAGAAGGUGAAGCCCAAGGCGGAGCAGGCCGGCAGCGACAGCUCGGUGGAGGACGGCGAGCAGAGGAAGGGCGGCAAGGGGAAGAAUGCCAAGCCGGUGGAGCCCCCCAAGGACUACGUCCAUGUCCGGGCAAGGAGAGGCCAGGCCACUGACAGCCACAGCCUGGCAGAGCGGGUGAGAAGAGAGAGGAUCAGUCAGCGGAUGAAAUUUCUCCAGGACCUCGUUCCAGGAUGCAACAAGGUGAUUGGCAAGGCACUGAUGCUUGAUGAGAUCAUAAACUACGUGCAGUCGCUUCAGCGGCAAGUCGAGUUCCUCUCCAUGAAGCUCGCAACCGUGAACCCGCUCGACUUCAGCAACCUGCCCACGCUCCUGCACAAAGACAUGUACGGCCCAUCGGCGAGCUCGGUGUUCUCGCUGGAGAGCUCCAGCUCGGCCUUCCCGUUCAGCGACCAAGGAGACGUCUUCCAGUCCUUCCUGCCCAACAGCAUGGAGAGCCAGUGCACCCUGAAUCAGCUGGACCUGGCUCUGUCUCAGGCCACCAACGCGGCGCAGUACGCCUUCCAGGAUGGGACGGCCACGGCCAGCACGAACCUGCAGCAGCAGAGGAACUUCUGGGAGGAUGAUCUCCAGAGCGUUUUUCAUGUGGACAACAGGCAGAGCCAGGAUAACGGGGUUUCCGCAGAGAGCUUCCACGGUGAUCUGCAGGCAGGUCAGAUGAAAAUGGAGUUCUAG